GAAAUGCGAUAAGUAAUGUGAAUUGCAGAAUUCAGUGAAUCAUCGAAUCUUUGAACGCACAUUGCGCCCCCCGGUAUUCCGGCGGGCAUGCCUGUUCGAGCGUCAUUUCAACCCUCAAGCUUUGCUUGGUAUUGGUGGCAGGCUGCAUGGCCUCCCCCGAAAAAUAGCGGCGGAUAGUUUGGAUUCCCAGCGCAGUGACUUUUUAUACACGCUGAACAGGAUCCCCAGGCUUUCCCGCCGGACAACAAACAAUUUUUCUUAUGGUUGACCUCGGAUCAGGUAGGGAUACCCGCUGAACUUAA
This 302-nucleotide unclassified non-coding RNA is filed under the name uncultured Ascomycota. RNAcentral describes it as "sequence contains ITS1". The stretch from base 1 to 105 matches the Rfam family "5.8S ribosomal RNA", at positions 50 to 154 of the family's 154-position model. Lineage: Eukaryota; Fungi; Ascomycota. The record is from RNAcentral.